UAAGCGGAGGAAAAGAAACUAACAAGGAUUUCCCCUAGUAACUGCGAGUGAAGCGGGAAAAGCUCAAAUUUGGAAUCUGGUGGUCUUUGGCCAUNCGAGUUGUAAUUUAGAGAAGCGUCUUCCGCGCUGGACCGUGCACAAGUCUCCUGGAAUGGAGCGUCAUAGAGGGUGAGAAUCCCGUCUUUGGCAUGGAAUCCCAGGGCUUCUGUGAUGCGCUCUCGACGAGUCGAGUUGUUUGGGAAUGCAGCUCAAAAUGGGUGGUGAACUCCAUCUAAAGCUAAAUAUUGGCGAGAGACCGAUAGCGAACAAGUACCGUGAGGGAAAGAUGAAAAGCACUUUGGAAAGAGAGUGAAACAGUACGUGAAAUUGUAGAAAGGGAAACGCUUGAAGUCAGUCGCGUCGACCGAGACUCAGCCUUGCCUCGGCUUGGUGUACUUCUCGGCUUGACGGGUCAGCAUCGAUUUCAAUCCUCGGAUAAUGGCAAGGGAAAGGUAGCACCUUUUUAGGUGUGUUACAGUCCUCUGUCGCAUGCGAGGGUCGGGAUCGAGGAACUCAGCACGCACCUCAGGGUGUCGGGGCCUUGGCCCACGUUUACGUGCUUAGGAUGCUGGCGUAAUGGCUUUAAACGACC
RNAcentral lists this ribosomal RNA (631 nucleotides) under uncultured Russulaceae. RNAcentral describes it as "LSU rRNA". It matches the Rfam family "Eukaryotic large subunit ribosomal RNA", at positions 47 to 649 of the family's 3401-position model. The record is from RNAcentral. Lineage: Eukaryota; Fungi; Basidiomycota; Agaricomycetes; Russulales; Russulaceae.